RNAcentral lists this non-coding RNA (102 nucleotides) under Geotalea uraniireducens. Its description in RNAcentral is "Geobacter uraniireducens TPP sequence". It matches the Rfam family "TPP riboswitch aptamer (THI element)". Rfam says of the family: Vitamin B(1) in its active form thiamin pyrophosphate (TPP) is an essential coenzyme that is synthesised by coupling of pyrimidine and thiazole moieties in bacteria. The previously detected thiamin-regulatory element, thi box was extended, resulting in a new, highly conserved RNA secondary structure, the THI element, which is widely distributed in eubacteria and also occurs in some archaea. Lineage: Bacteria; Pseudomonadati; Thermodesulfobacteriota; Desulfuromonadia; Geobacterales; Geobacteraceae. The record is from RNAcentral. RNAcentral also lists the same sequence under 1 other name.
AUUGCCAGCUAGGGGAGUUCGCAAGAACUGAGAUGGGCCUUGCCCAAACCCUUUGAACCUGAUCCGGUUGAUCCCGGCGUAGGAAAGCGGCCAGAGUGAGAC